GCCCGUUUGGCUUAGUGGUACAGCGUCUCACUCGUAUUCAAACCAACAGUCGACAUGAGAAGAUCCUCGGUUCGAUUCCGAGAAUGGGCA
Molecule: non-coding RNA, 90 nt
Organism: Didymella sp. IMI 355093
Lineage: Eukaryota; Fungi; Ascomycota; Dothideomycetes; Pleosporales; Didymellaceae
Source: the annotation of a GenBank genome assembly